This is a non-coding RNA of Rana temporaria (common frog), 130 nucleotides long. RefSeq annotates it as small Cajal body-specific RNA 15. The transcript has a single exon. Lineage: Eukaryota; Metazoa; Chordata; Amphibia; Anura; Ranidae. The record is from RefSeq and is a predicted model, not a curated record.
AUGGAGGACUAAGAAAGUAAAUCCAGAGAAGUUAUUUGGAUUUUACUGAUACUAUCCUCCUAAAGAAAAUGAUAGAAGAACAGGUCUGACUACAAGGUGUGUGAAGGACCUACUUAAUCUAUCAACACUG